This is a long non-coding RNA of Poecilia latipinna (sailfin molly), 4510 nucleotides long. RefSeq lists it as uncharacterized. The transcript has 2 exons. The record is from RefSeq and is a predicted model, not a curated record. NCBI's taxonomy places the organism in Eukaryota, Metazoa, Chordata, Actinopteri, Cyprinodontiformes, Poeciliidae.
ACUUGUCCAAUUUGCCAAAUGCUACUGGAAUUAGGAGCUUUGCUAAGGUGAACCUAAUGUUGACCUUUUCAGCUUCGUCCCUACUGCCAGCGGUGGACGAUCAGUGAUGUUGUGGGACUGUUUUUCGUCCAAUGAACCCCUGGUAAAGUGCAUGGCAUCAUAAACUGAUUUUAAAUCGAAUGGUCUUUGUCAAGAAAGUAAAAAAAGGGGUUGUCAUUAGGUCUUUCAACAGGAUGAUAAUCCGAAACAUCCGGCCAGAUGAAGACAGUAGAUGCCACUUUUCUGGCCAUCUUAGUCCCCAAACUUAGAUCCUUUUGAAAACCUGCAGGGUGAGCAAGAAUGGAGGAGCUGGAUGACAAUCCAGAGGGAUUUUGCUGAGAGGAAUCAUCAAAGGUCCUUGUGCCUUUGGCGAUUCCUGUUACAAGAGAAGACUACGCGCUGUCCUACUGGUAGAAGAUUGCUAUAGAAAUAACUUCACUUGAAAUAACAUAUCUAAAAUUAAAGGCUAGGCUUUUGGACAAUUUUCAGUGUAAGACCGUGCUACUGUGAGAAAAGCUUAAUUCAUUUUAAGUCUUAUAACACCCUCUGUUUCAGGGGUGCCAACAAGUGUAAAUGCUGUUGGCACGGUGCAUUAUAUGCUCCUCUUAAACCUAAAUGAAUCAACAUUAAUACAUAGACGUGACAUUCACUCGCCAUGCGCUCUAAUCCAGCCCUGCAUGAUGACUGCUCCUUGCGGCCCAGAGGACGCAGCUCUCAAUUCACAUUUGGACAACUCAGACCACAGGUUUGUUUCUCUUCUGUACUUCAGGCUCGUUCUGUUUGGGACUACAAAUAAAAUGACCUCGUAUAACUAUCCGUCUUCUAUUAGACUUCACUAUUUUCUGCAUACCUCUUGCACACUGAAAAGUCCUUGGUGCAGUGUCCCGGCCGACUCCAUAUUGGAAUCAACUUAAAUGGCUUGAAUUAAUUUGGAAUUUAAGCAAUCUCUCCAAGUAAAUAUGGGUUUUCCCCCGAAUGCCAGUGCCGCGCUUAAGUGUUCACAACUUAAUGAGCCACAUUACGAACGCAAACUCGAUGUGUUAAAGAACCACGUCUUGCUACAUCUAAGGGGAGAAGGGUGUUUCUACACCAGCUUUGUACAUUUAGAGAAAUGUACACUUUGUCUUCACUUCAAAGUAGCUCGGGUUUAGUCAGAUUUGAUGGAUGGCAUGUGUCGGAGCAGCAAUUUUCUAGUAUCACAAAACUUUCUCGAUUGUAUUUAAGUCUGGGCAUCGAUUGGGCCGUUUGUAACGCAUAAAUGUGGUUUGAUCUAAACCGUACGUGGCUCUGGCUGCAUGUUCAGCGUCGUCGUCCAGCUGAAAGGUGGAGCCUCUGCUGAAGUCUCAAGUCUUUUUCAGCCUCCAGCAGAACCGACUAGUAUACAUUUCCAUUCAUCUUCCCAUCAGCUCUGACCUGCUUCCCCGUCUCCCUGCUAAAGAAAAGCAUCCUCGCAGCAUAACGCUGCUAACGUUGACCGAGAAUAUGGUUUGUUGUUUGUUUUUUUACAGUAAGAUAACGAGUGCUGCAUGCAAAUACACUAUUUUGGUUUGUAUUCCUCCAUAUGUUGCUACUAUGCUGCUUCAUUUCACCAUAGGUGCCAUUUAGUGUUGGUCAAUCACAUAAAACCCCCUCAGACUACAUUUCAAAUUGUGGUUGUUUGUAAAAAAAAAAAAAAAAAAAAGAGAUCAGUAAUCACUCAAAUCUCUGGGGGAAAAAAUAAAAGCACAAAAUCACUCUAGUUUUGCCACUAUUGUUGUAGUGUCAUUUAUUUCUCAAUGGCAGUCGGAAAACAGGUUUUCUGGACCGCCGUGGCUGGCUGUGUGUUUGCUCCUUGGCUCUUUCAGCUCACACAUGAUGAAUAUCCAAUCAGCACAGUCAAUUUGCUGAGUCAUGCUUGGGUUGCUUUCAAAUACCCUGUGGGUAUGGAGAAAUAAUUAAGGAACACGGCUCCUUUUCGCCCUGUUGAGGUUGAUUCACCUGUUUGUUUGCUUGAGUUAUCGGGGAACCAGGCACUAAAGAAGCAGAACUGAUUCAUUUUAAUAUGUUUUUACAUCAGUUUUUUUUUUGUUUUGUUUUGUUUUUCUCCCGUUUCUGUAGCCAAAAAAUGCCCUAGAAAUACCUCCCACAACUUUUGUUUACUACCAUUACAAAGCAGAACAGAGCAUAUUAGAAAGAUGUCAGAUAAAUGUUUUAUUCCCCCGGAAACUCGCAGUGUAUUCUCCAUGAAUACAAUAUAUCUACUUUCCGCUGUCUUCCACCCCUGCUUUUCCUAAUGGGAUUCACUCCUUUGCAUUUCAGUGAAAAGCUGCUAUUUUUUCCAGGUUUGCUGAUGCAAAGAAAUAAGUGCACUUUAGAGUUUUGGAGCCGGAGAAGCAAGGUACCAUUGCCUAUCAGGAAUGGUUCAAUUACCAGCUUUCAUACUGGAAGGGGAAAGGGACUGUAAUCCAUGCUUUCUCUUCGUUGCUGUUUUUUUUGUUUUUUUUGUUUACCCAUUUACAAGUUGUCUCUUCAUCCUCCUGCUCGCUCCUCGCUUUAUUGCACUCCAAAGUUUACUGCUGGAGCAUUAGCAAUUCUAAUGAAAUGGAGCGCUGUACUCUGUUUGAUCCGCCCGGGAGUGAUACUAAAGGGAUUUUUACCAAGAGGUGGGAAGAAUCAAAAGACAGAAUGAUGGAAGAACUAGGGUGAUGACACUUCCCUGCCUUCCAGCAGGCAGCGUGAACAACACGGAGACGUAGAUGCAAAAUACCAACUCCUAAAAGAAAAUUUGCGGAUGGUAGAUUGUGAGUUCAGCUGUUCUUGUUCUGGAUUUAUUUAUUGUUGUGGUUGACUAAAUCAAGUUUUUGAUAACCCCACAGCUGUUUAAAGCAGGGUUAGGUUAGAAAACAAAAUCCCAAACUUUGCAAAGUUCAAUCCAUCAUCUGACAGUCAAAACGGUGUAGGGGAUGAUGGCUGCAACCAAAACAGGAUUUCCCAGCAGGCACAGUAACCAGAGUGUUAAUCAGAGAUUAGAGGGCCAUGAUGACUCUGGAGGAGCUGCAGGACAGAAACCCAUAAAAGUCCCAUUCGUAGUUUACCAUAAAACCAUGCAGGAGAUGCAGCAAACAAUUGGAAGGAGGUGCUCUGGUCAGGAGAGACUAAAUUUAACAUUCCUGGCCAACAUGCAUCACCCCAAUCUGUGUUGGUCUGUCACAUAAAAUCCAAGCAAAACAAGGGACAGGAGCUGCUAUCUCACAUAAUCUAGAGCCUGCGUUACAUGGAGCGUCUCCUCGGCUGUUGCUAGACUGCCAUCUGGGCAGCUACAGUUGGAGGAAGGAAGGUGUGGACAGGUGUGUGUCAACAUGCAUGCAUGAAUAGCUGCUUGUGUAUCCAGGUCUGCUGUUUCUCCCUCUUAAUGUGUGUGUCCGCGCACGCGCGUGUGUGUGUGCGCGUGUGUGUGUGUGUGUGUGUGUGUGUGUGUUCUCUCCCUGCCUGUCCUGUCUGCUCUGGCCCAGCAGCUGCCACCCCAGGCCAGAUAGGAUGACAUGACCUUCCCCAGUAAUGAAAAGGCACUGACAAAUCACUGUCUGCUUCUCAUAGUGCGAGCGCAGGAGGAGGGAUGCUGACGCCAACAUCAUCCCGCUCUCCUCCCCGCUCUGCGGCUCUCCGUGGUUUUGUUGUUGUUUUCUCGCAAGUGUGUCUACAUGUUUGUCUCUCGUCCAAAAGCAGGGCUCUCGUCGGGGGUCUGUCCCUAGACAGCCGUGUUUAUGACUGAGAGGAUGAUGGGCUCUGCUUCACCCUCUAACUUCCUCUCUGGGCUCCCUGCCUCGCGUCUCUCUCUUUCUCUCUCUCUCUUUUUUUUUUCUUUUAGCCUUAAUUGGCCGUGGUUGAGGAGAGGGAUUGUCUUGGCAAAGAUGUGAAAAGGAUAUGCCUGGUUGCACACCAGUCGUUUCAGCGAUCUAUUAAAUACAACUUGCAGGGAAGAGGGGAGCGUUCCUCCAUCUUUACGCCCUCCCCCACCCCCCACCCCACCCCUCCGCCUCUGCUCUGGCUUCCUGUAGCAUGCGCUGAGCUGCAUUUCUGACUUGGUAUUUCUCUUUUGUUUCAGGGAGUGGUGGAGAGGAAAGACUAACAGACAGAGGAGCAGGGUUGUCGAGGACCUUUAUCCCCCGGGCACAGACGUUCCCCAGCUUUCUGUCUGAUGAGCAGGAGGAGAGGAGCCACCGCCACCAAGAAGAGGCGCCGUCGCCCUCUAGUGGCUGCGAAUCCAGUUGCAGCCUCAGACCGCUUCAAUGACAGGGAGCAGCUUAAGCGGCUGUGAACACUCAACCCGUCAAUGUAGAGAGGAUUCAGCAAUCUGUAUAGUGAUACGUGUAAUAUACCUGUAGAAGCUGUAGAAGGGAUCCUGGAGGAUCGUCAAGUGUGGCUGCAGAGAUAGCUUCUAAAAGUGCACCAAAAAUCCUCUGUGUGUUAUUUAAAGUGUUUCUCGUCGCCA